AUUUGAAGAUCACAGUGCUUGAGAAAGUGUAGAUCCAACAUCCAAACAUAGUUGCCAUUGGGAAGGAACUGCCUUUAGCUUCUGUGAACAGAGGAGUCUCUUCUGAGGUAGGGAUGGGAGUUCAGGACUCUGAGAAGAUAACAUGUCAUAAUUUCCACUGGGUUCUCUGUUGAAAUGUUUCUUUCUUACAAGCUGAGGCAAAUCACUUCCCCUCUCUGAAUUUCAGUGUCCUCAUCUCUCGAGUGAAGAGAAUGAUAAUGUGGUCCCAGGAGC
Molecule: long non-coding RNA, 273 nt
Filed under: Homo sapiens (human)
Lineage: Eukaryota; Metazoa; Chordata; Mammalia; Primates; Hominidae
Description: non-protein coding lnc-CXorf40B-4:2
Source: RNAcentral